UGGGGAAUAUUGCACAAUGGGCGCAAGCCUGAUGCAGCCAUGCCGCGUGUAUGAAGAAGGCCUUCGGGUUGUAAAGUACUUUCAGCGGGGAGGAAGGCGAUAAGGUUAAUAACCUUGUCGAUUGACGUUACCCGCAGAAGAAGCACCGGCUAACUCCGUGCCAGCAGCCGCGGUAAUACGGAGGGUGCAAGCGUUAAUCGGAAUUACUGGGCGUAAAGCGCACGAAGGCGGUCUGUCAAGUCGGAUGUGAAAUCCCCGGGCUCAACCUGGGAACUGCAUUCGAAACUGGCAGGCUAGAGUCUUGUAGAGGGGGGUAGAAUUCCAGGUGUAGCGGUGAAAUGCGUAGAGAUCUGGAGGAAUACCGGUGGCGAAGGCGGCCCCCUGGACAAAGACUGACGCUCAGGUGCGAAAGCGUGGGGAGCAAACA
Molecule: ribosomal RNA, 427 nt
Filed under: uncultured bacterium
Lineage: Bacteria
Description: partial 16S ribosomal RNA
Rfam family: Bacterial small subunit ribosomal RNA
Source: RNAcentral